AUUGAACGCUGGCGGCAUGCCUUACACAUGCAAGUCGAACGGCAGCACGGACUUCGGUCUGGUGGCGAGUGGCGAACGGGUGAGUAAUACAUCGGAACGUGCCCAGUAAUGGGGGAUAACGCAGCGAAAGUUGUGCUAAUACCGCAUACACCCUGAGGGGGAAAGUGGGGGAUCGCAAGACCUCAUGUUAUUGGAGCGGCCGAUGGCUGAUUAGCUAGUUGGUGAGGUAAAGGCUCACCAAGGCGACGAUCAGUAGCUGGUCUGAGAGGACGACCAGCCACACUGGGACUGAGACACGGCCCAGACUCCUACGGGAGGCAGCAGUGGGGAAUUUUGGACAAUGGGCGAAAGCCUGAUCCAGCAAUGCCGCGUGUGCGAAGAAGGCCUUCGGGUUGUAAAGCACUUUUGUCAGGGAAGAAAACUGUUUGGCUAAUACCCGGAUAGGAUGACGGUACCUGAAGAAUAAGCACCGGCUAACUACGUGCCAGCAGCCGCAGUAA
This 500-nucleotide ribosomal RNA is filed under the name uncultured bacterium. RNAcentral describes it as "partial 16S ribosomal RNA". It matches the Rfam family "Bacterial small subunit ribosomal RNA", at positions 30 to 523 of the family's 1533-position model. The record is from RNAcentral.